Molecule: ribosomal RNA, 511 nt
Filed under: Staphylococcus sp. HLAL11CKANTET
Lineage: Bacteria; Bacillati; Bacillota; Bacilli; Caryophanales; Staphylococcaceae
Description: bacterial SSU rRNA
Rfam family: Bacterial small subunit ribosomal RNA
Source: RNAcentral
CGUGGAUAACCUACCUAUAAGACUGGGAUAACUUCGGGAAACCGGAGCUAAUACCGGAUAAUAUAUUGAACCGCAUGGUUCAAUAGUGAAAGACGGUUUUGCUGUCACUUAUAGAUGGAUCCGCGCCGCAUUAGCUAGUUGGUAAGGUAACGGCUUACCAAGGCAACGAUGCGUAGCCGACCUGAGAGGGUGAUCGGCCACACUGGAACUGAGACACGGUCCAGACUCCUACGGGAGGCAGCAGUAGGGAAUCUUCCGCAAUGGGCGAAAGCCUGACGGAGCAACGCCGCGUGAGUGAUGAAGGUCUUCGGAUCGUAAAACUCUGUUAUUAGGGAAGAACAAAUGUGUAAGUAACUAUGCACRUCUUGACGGUACCUAAUCAGAAAGCCACGGCUAACUACGUGCCAGCAGCCGCGGUAAUACGUAGGUGGCAAGCGUUAUCCGGAAUUAUUGGGCGUAAAGCGCGCGUAGGCGGUUUUUUAAGUCUGAUGUGAAAGCCCACGGCUCAACC